UGCAUCGGCCAGGAAUCGAACCCGGGCCGCCCGCGUGGCAGGCGAGCAUUCUACCACUAAGCCACCGAUGC
This 71-nucleotide transfer RNA is filed under the name Cordylochernes scorpioides. RNAcentral's name for it is "tRNA-Gly". The record is from RNAcentral. Lineage: Eukaryota; Metazoa; Arthropoda; Arachnida; Pseudoscorpiones; Chernetidae.